GUGGGUAUAACUUAAAUGGUUAAAGUAUCAGACUGUGACUCUGAAAAUACGGGUUCAAUUCCCGUUAUUCGCC
RNAcentral lists this transfer RNA (73 nucleotides) under Pyramimonas parkeae. RNAcentral describes it as "tRNA-His". It matches the Rfam family "tRNA". From Rfam's summary of the family: Transfer RNA (tRNA) molecules are approximately 80 nucleotides in length. Lineage: Eukaryota; Viridiplantae; Chlorophyta; Pyramimonadophyceae; Pyramimonadales; Pyramimonadaceae. The record is from RNAcentral.